CAUCUGUGAACUGCUGGAGCGUGUAAAGGAGCCAGUUCUCCAGACCCACAACUGCAGGGCAACAGAUAUCUGAGCGGAGUCCCGGUGAGCCGAGUCCCGGUGAGGAUCCAGUAUAGAGAAUGUAACAGAAGCUAAAGGCCCCGAACCAGACCAAUGAUUCAUUGCAAUGAACAUUUGCAAGAAAAGAUGUGUGGACAAAAGGGUAGACUGUGGGACACCCUGCAGCUUCCAUGUUCAUUAAUGCAGUGCCUCUCUGCACUCUCACCAGUUGGGCAGGAACACAAGAAGGUCAGAGGACAACUUGUAGAAGUCAUUCUCUUCUUCCACCACGUUUGUCUCAGAUCUUAAGCUCAGGUCAAAGGCUUGGAGCACGUGGCUCCAAGCCAUGAAGCCAUAUCGUGGCACUUUCUUUUCUUCUAAAGCCUGUAUGCUGUUCAGAGACUAGGACAACAUCCUUGAAAACAAAUGGCGCUGAGGCUUGGAGUUGCACGAUUCAAGCAAGUGCCACAUGUACCCACUGGCCAGCACCUAAGACUUCCCUUUUGGCUUUAAGAAUAUCUGUAUUGAGUCAGGCAGUGGUGGCACACACCUGUGAUCCCAGCACUCUGGGAAGCAGAGGCAGGAGGAUCGCUUUGAGUUCGAGAAAAUCUCCCAAGCCUGCGAUGAAGAGCAACUAUCCAAAACAACAUUUCAAGAUUGAGAGCAGGGGCUGGAGAGAUGGCUCAGAAGUUAAGAGCAUUGGCUGCUCUCCCAGAGGACCCAGGUUCAAUUCCCAGAACCCACAUGACAGCUCACAACUGUCUGUAACUCCUGUUCUAGGGGAUCUGACUCGAACAUGCAGGCAAAGCACCAAUGUAGAUAAUAAAAAUAAAUAAAUAAUUUUAAAAAAGA
Meriones unguiculatus (Mongolian gerbil) is the source of this 891-nucleotide long non-coding RNA. RefSeq lists it as uncharacterized. The record is from RefSeq and is a predicted model, not a curated record. Lineage: Eukaryota; Metazoa; Chordata; Mammalia; Rodentia; Muridae. The transcript has 4 exons.